UAGUGAUCCGGUGGUUCUGAAUGGAAGGGCCAUCGCUCAACGGAUAAAAGGUACUCCGGGGAUAACAGGCUGAUACCGCCCAAGAGUUCAUAUCGACGGCGGUGUUUGGCACCUCGAUGUCGGCUCAUCACAUCCUGGGGCUGAAGUAGGUCCCAAGGGUACGGCUGUUCGCCGUUUAAAGUGGUACGCGAGCUGGGUUUAGAACGUCGUGAGACAGUUCGGUCCCUAUCUGCCGUGGGCGUUGGAAGAUUGAAAGGGGCUGCUCCUAGUACGAGAGGACCGGAGUGGACGCACCACUGGUGUUCGGGUUGUCAUGCCAAUGGCAUUGCCCGGUAGCUAAGUGCGGAAGAGAUAACCGCUGAAAGCAUCUAAGCGGGAAACUUGCCUUGAGAUGAGUCUUCCCUGACCCUUUAAGGGUCCUAAAGGAACGUUUAAGACUAAGACGUUGAUAGGUUGGGUGUGUAAGCAUAGCGAUAUGUUGAGCUAACCAAUACUAAUGAACCGUGAGGCUUAACCUG
This 518-nucleotide ribosomal RNA is filed under the name Providencia rettgeri. Its description in RNAcentral is "partial 23S ribosomal RNA". It matches the Rfam family "Bacterial large subunit ribosomal RNA", at positions 2413 to 2925 of the family's 2925-position model. Lineage: Bacteria; Pseudomonadati; Pseudomonadota; Gammaproteobacteria; Enterobacterales; Morganellaceae. The record is from RNAcentral.